UCGCUUUUGGAUGGACCCGCGGCGUAUUAGCUAGUUGGUGAGGUAAUGGCUCACCAAGGCGAUGAUACGUAGCCGAACUGAGAGGUUGAUCGGCCACAUUGGGACUGAGACACGGCCCAAACUCCUACGGGAGGCAGCAGUAGGGAAUCUUCCACAAUGGACGCAAGUCUGAUGGAGCAACGCCGCGUGAGUGAAGAAGGCUUUCGGGUCGUAAAACUCUGUUGUUGGAGAAGAAUGGUCGGCAGAGUAACUGUUGUCGGCGUGACGGUAUCCAACCAGAAAGCCACGGCUAACUACGUGCCAGCAGCCGCGGUAAUACGUAGGUGGCAAGCGUUAUCCGGAUUUAUUGGGCGUAAAGCGAGCGCAGGCGGUUUUUUAAGUCUGAUGUGAAAGCCCUCGGCUUAACCGAGGAAGCGCAUCGGAAACUGGGAAACUUGAGUGCAGAAGAGGACAGUGGAACUCCAUGUGUAGCGGUGAAAUGCGUAGAUAU
This 490-nucleotide ribosomal RNA is filed under the name uncultured bacterium. RNAcentral describes it as "bacterial SSU rRNA". It matches the Rfam family "Bacterial small subunit ribosomal RNA", at positions 215 to 697 of the family's 1533-position model. The record is from RNAcentral.